RNAcentral lists this ribosomal RNA (253 nucleotides) under uncultured bacterium. RNAcentral's name for it is "partial 16S ribosomal RNA". It matches the Rfam family "Bacterial small subunit ribosomal RNA", at positions 524 to 776 of the family's 1533-position model. The record is from RNAcentral.
UACAGAGGGGGCCAGCGUUAUUCGGAAUUAUUGGGCGUAAAGGGCGCGUAGGCGGCCAUGCGUGUCUUCCGUGAAAUCCCUCGGCUUAACCGAGGACGUGCGGAAGAAACUGCAAGGCUCGAGUCCGGAAGAGGGGGGCGGAAUUCCCAGUGUAGCGGUGAAAUGCGUAGAUAUCCGGAGGAAUACCAAAGGCGAAGGCAGUGUCCUGGAGGGUGACUGACGCUGAGGCGCGAAAGCUAGGGGAGCGAACAGG